This is a long non-coding RNA of Dermacentor silvarum, 11479 nucleotides long. RefSeq lists it as uncharacterized. The record is from RefSeq and is a predicted model, not a curated record. Lineage: Eukaryota; Metazoa; Arthropoda; Arachnida; Ixodida; Ixodidae. The transcript is spliced from 2 exons.
AUUUUAAUAUUUUUGGUUUAUGCGAGCAUUUGUUACGCCAUUGGUGCAAAGUAUAUUGAAUCCAAGGUUUUGUUUCAUUGCAUAAGUUACACGGACCCUGUAAGUGGUCCAAAAAUGAUCAAUCUUCGUCAUAACCUUGUAAUAACAUAAAUGUAGCCCAGUCGUUCCUUAUUCUGUGAGACUGCCACUGCCUGGUGCAACGUAAGAUAUUUCUGUGCUCAACCAACGCUUGGGUGGGUGCAAGAAAAAGAGUCCGAAGUUCUCGGCAUUUUAUUUGCUGUCAUCAGUGUUGAACUUUACUACUGUUCUUUCAUUUAAUUGCUUGUGACACUCACUUUUAAAAUCACAGGCGUUAAUUUUUUCAUGCCACAGAACAAAUAAUCUUGGUAAUAGUGCGCGGAUGUUUACAGUGUUCUGGGUCAGUUCCAGCGAUUGUACUAGUUUCGCUUUCGCGGAAUGUGUUAACUUCAUUUUAUUUUGGCGAUUGGGCUCAGGGUGGACUGUGACAAGUAUGGCCUCUUGAGUAAACCAGCAGCAGCGACGCGGCGAGAAUCGUCGCUGACGGUCGUUUUUGUUGUUUCGGAGAAGACGCAUGCCGCCUUGCGUUGUAUCAAAAUGAGGACGGCUACAUUUCAGCAAGAUCAAGAACUGAGGUCAAGACGUUUGAAAAACGACUCGCAACGUUCCAAGUUUUCGAGUGAUGGCACCGUCGUUGAUCGGAGCCUCAACCUUCAAGGAAUUGUGACAAUGCUGAAAGAAGAUACGUGUAACAAGUCUGUAGGAGGCAUAAACUGUAGCAUCUGUGGGAAGCUGUACAAGAGCAAAGUGUGCUUUACCAAGCACAUAUGGGAACACUCUAUGUACUGGGACCUGUUUGAUGACAUGAAGCACCAGGACCGUGUGUUAUCCAUCCAGGGAGCCCUCAUCCUCUAUAGCUUGCUGCAUCCUGGUGACCUAGCUGGCCUUUUGGUCACUGACCCACCACGACUGAGGCGGCGAGAACGACUUGAGAAAGCUGGCAUUCGCACACAACCUUAGUUAGACGACUCCUUGUGUCCUUUUCUGUUGUGCUGCGUUAAUCUUGCAGCUGGUCUGUGAGAGCUGAUGUUUGUUUGUUUCUGGUGAACUGCUUGGUUCGGGCUUGCAUAUUUGUGAAUUCCUAUGUGAAAGGCACUUUGGUUUCACUCAUAAAUGUCUUCUAGGCAUAGUUGCGGCUCAUGUGCAGAAGCUUCUUUUGAUCUGGCUAAUGCAUUGGUUUGCUGUUAAGGAAUGAGCCCUGGGGUCUUUCAGGGAGUUACAUAUGAGCUGCUGAGGCAUAUAAGUUUCUUAUUUUAGCUUUUCUUCCUGCUGUUAAUUGCUGUGGAUGAAAAAGAGGCGACAGUUUUUGCUACUUUAGCUAUACAAUUUGUGUGGUGUUGUGGCAGUGUAAUCUGCCUGACAGAACUUUUUUUUUUUUUUUGCGCCUAGACGAAACUUGGGUGAGUCACUAGGCAUCUCCAUUUGGCCUUUUUUGUUGUGGUGGCAGCAGCAGGAGCAAGUUUUACUAUGUAACUGUCCACUUGCACAUAUUUUUUGUGCUGCCAGCCAUGCACUCAUUGUUUCAUCACUCUGUGCAAUACUUGUGCAAUCUGCAAGAGCAUCACCUGUGUGAUAGGCAGCUAGCUACUUUGGCUAACAUUUCACGGUGCUGAAUAGUGAAGAAUGCGGAUAUCUUUUACUUACAUUUGAACUUGUUCCUAGCUUGCUAUGAAGAUAAGCAAAUGUAGCGGUUAAAGAUGGUGUCAUAAAGUGCAGCUAAGCAUAACUUAAUUUGCACAUGAUGAACACCUUUAGUCUUGUUACUCAGUUUAUGUAAGGUGUGCCUGUUGCAAGUUGACUAGGGAAAUACAUUAUUUUGUGCACUUGCACAGACUGCACCUAUGUGUUUAUGAUUGUUGAGCUAAUCAGUGUUUCAUGAUUAAAAAAGUAAUACUAAUGAUGUUAGAGCUAAAGAAAAUGCAAAAUAGAGAGAACAAGUAAUUCAAUGGCCUUCAGUUUCAAUCCUGCAUCUCUCUCUCUUUCUUUUUUGCUCACAUUAUGAACCACGCAAAGCUAAGCUACCUGUGUGCUGAGCUGGUUGUGGAAGGCCUGCAACUCUAGAACGUUACCAAACGGCAUUGCUGCAUGUGUUUGCGAGAUGCCAAAUAGCAGUAUAACUUUUGUUAAAAAACAGAUUAUUCAUGUUAUAUAGCUGCCAUGGCUUAGUUGAAUGUUGAACUGUAGCAGUUGACUGGCCUGUUUAAAAUCACCAGUGCCGCUGUCAUUCUGGCUCUUUAUUUUGAGAUCACAAAAACCACAGAAAGCUUAUUGUGCUGUGCAGCAGUUUACAUGUUUCAUACUAAGGCCAUAAUUGUAUCAAUGAUGUGGGAGAGAGCAGCAGUAAGAAAGCAGCUUGCAAGUAUUGAGCCCCUGAGCACUCAUGCAUUAUCAUAAAGUAUUAGCAUGAUGCCAGUAAAGUAUUGAAAUUUGCCUCGCAGGCAAUUUUUUUUUUAAUUCUAUAAUGACCACAAAAUUACAGUGUUGUUUUGGUCUCAGUAUUAUGUUUGGGAAUGUUUAUAACGAAUUACUUUCAUAGCCUUUUGGUAUGUAGAGGAUGUUCUGUGUAAGUAAAACCAAGCUUGAAAAGAAAAAAAAGAAAAAGGAAACUGGUGCACCUUAGAACGAUGAAAUUGAGACAGUUUUGUUGGUAGCCAUUUUUACAUGUUGUAGUACCUUUAAUACAUUGGUUUUGCCUUAAGUUUCACCUAACUACUGUUUCAACGAAGGCUGUCAAUAGUGGUAGUACUCAUUUGUAAGCUGAAUGGCAACUAUGGCUCAAAGUGCAUGGUCUUUUGAGUGACAUAUGUAACGGUUUUGUCCUCUAUCUUUCUUUUUUGUGGUGUUCUAUCACUACAGCACAAAGAAAAAGCCUUGAUAUUCAACUAGCCUAGUGAACCAGAUCACUAUGCUUUUUUUUCUUGUAAUUUCUUAAUCUCAGUGCUUCCCUAUUGUUGAUUCUGCUGCUUUUUAUCCAUAAGUAAAUAGCUUUAUAUUAACCCUGUGGGUGUACGCAAUGCUCACAUUGUUGUGGCAGGCACUUAGUGAUGCCUUGAGACAUUCAGAUCCAGAUUCCUAAUCAUGUAUUGGAAGGCAUUAACAGAGACAUGCUAAUCUAAGAGAAUGCCUUGCACUGCAUUGAUGUAGUCCAUCAGCUAUGUUGUGCUGAAUUUUAAGCACUGGUAAGACUGGUCACCUCAAAAAGGUGACCUGAAAUCUUUUAUCUGUAAACACCUGUACUUUGUGUCAUGGAAACCAGGUCAGGGUAAUGUAACGAUACUAUUUCACUUCUUUUCCUUUUCGCGUUUCGUAAGUGGUCCGAGUGGUGCUCCGCAUACAUUAUCACCAGGACCGAUCAUGAACGGUGGAUGAAAAGAAUGGAAUAGAAUCAAGGGAAUCAAGGCCCUUUAUAUGCAAUGCUUCACGACUUCAAGUCUACCAGAAACCUGGAAUAAUGCUAACAUUAUACUAAUCUAUACGAAGGAAGGCAUUACAGAAUUGAAGAAUUAUAUGCCUAUUACCUUGCUUUCAGUAUUGUAUAAAAUAUUCACCAAGAUAAUUUCCAAUAGAAUCAGGGCAACACUUGACUUCAAUCAACCAAGAGAACAGGCUGGCUUCAGGAAGGGAUAUUCUACAAUCGAUCACAUCCAUGUCAUCAGUCAGGUAAUCAAGAAAUCUGUGAAGUACAAUAAACCUCUCUAUAUGGGCUUUCAUAGACUAUGAUAAGGCAUUUGAUUCAGUAGAGAUACCAGCAGUCAUAGAGGCUUUGAAUAAUGUACAGGAAGCAUACGUGAAAAUCUUAGGAAAUUUCUACAAAGAUUCCACAGCUACAUUGGUUCUCCACAAGAAAAGUAGAAAUUUACCUAUCAAGAAAGGGGUGAGGCAAGGAGGCACAAUCACUCCAAUGCUAUUCACUGCAUGCUUAGAAGUAUUCAAGCUCUUAGACUGGGAAGGCUUAGGAGUGAGGAUCAACGGCGAACAUCUCGUCAACCUUCGGUUUGCAGAUGACAUUGUCGUAUUCAGCAACAAUGGGCACGAAUUACAACAAAUGAUUGAGGACCUUAACCGAGAAAGUGUAAGAGUGGUGUUGAAGAUUAAUAUGUAGAAGACAAACAAUGUUCAAUAGCCUGGCAAGGCAACAAGAAUUCAGGGUCGCCAGUCAGCCUCUAGAGUCUGUAAAGGAGUAUGUUUAUCUAGGUCAAUUACUCGCAGGGGACCUUGAUCACGAGAAAGAAAUUUGCAGAAGAAUAAAAUUGGGUUGGGGUGCAUGCGGCAGGCAUUGCCAAAUCCUGACAAGGAGCUUACCACUGUCGUUGAAAAGUGUAUAAUCACUACAUUAUACCGCUGCUAACUAAUGGGGCAGAAACUUGGAGCUUAACAAAGAAGCUCGAGAACAAGUUAAGGACCGCACAAAGAGCAAUGGAACAAAAAAUGUUAGGGUGUGAAGAGAGUAGUGUGGAUCAGAGAGUAACGGGGAUAGCCGAUAUUCUAAUUGACAUUAAGAGAAAAAAAAUGGAGCUGGGCAGGCCAUGUAAUGUGUGGCCCAUUAGAGUUAACAGAAUCGGUACCAAAAGAAGGGGAGCAUAGUCGAGAACAGAAGAAAACUAGGUGGGGUGAUGAAGUUGGGAAAUUUGCAGGCGCAAGUUGGAAUCAGCUAGCGCAAGACAGGGGUAAUUGGAGAUCGCAGGGAGAGGCCUUCAUCCUGCAGUGGACAUAAAUAUAGGCAGAUGAUGAUGAUGAGAAUCAAGGGAAAGGAAUCGUUACAUUAUACCGACCCUGCUUCUUUCGUUCUUUUGUGUGUGGGGGGGAGGGGGGGCGCACAUGUUGCUGUUAUAGUAGUAUAUUGAGAAAUGUAGACCAUCAUCUUGGACAUGCAUAUUUUCAGGUAUUUCCUGGAGCUCAGAUUUUCAGUAAAUUAGGUGUAUUAAUCAGCAGGUAUGGUAUAAGCUGGCUUUUUCAACUUUGUGUUCUUUAUCAUGCCAUGAAGGCCCAGUUUUUUCUAAAGCAUGGUCCUACUUGCAUGAAGUUACUGGACAUGGAUGUUUUGGCACGUCUGUAUGUGUACAUGCAUGUUUGUUGUCUUGCAUGUCUGUGUAUGCAUGUACACCCUAGCGCAAAAGUAUAGGGGACCACGGAUGCUGCAAAAACAAAGUUAUUUAGCAGCCUUAGGCAUACAGCCUCAAAAUGAGCAUUGCUGCUAUGACUAUAGUUGCAUAGACAUUGCUGCACUCCUCCAUUUCAUGUUGCAGAUCUAGGCUGCACACUCAGUCUCAACUUGAUGCCCAUGGUCAGUACUCCUUUGCUGUUGGUGUGUAUAUGCUUUUUAUAGUAAUGUAUACAAGAAAAAUUAUUAGUGUUGUUUAGUAGUAUUGCCUUGACUGACCUAUUUCUAGUAAGCAAUGUACUGAACAUUCUGUACACUCUAGAUGUGCUUAUUAUUCCAAACACACCUGCACACUCUUGGUCAAAUGUUUCCAGGCUCUUUCUAUCAUUGGCAUCCAUUGGCUGUUUUCGAGCAUCAUUGCACUGCCAGUGCUGGCACUUUCUGGCUAAAGAUUAAAAAUGGUAAGGCCGAUCCUUACGCAAGUCUUGAGCCCCUAUGUGUUGAACAGUACUGAAAAAAAUUGUGACUUUAAAUUUGCCUGCCUUCAUUCCUUGUUGGUGAAGACAUUUGAUGCUGGGAAAAGUAGGAAGUGUGGGACUGCAGAUAGGCUGAGCAACAUAGAACCAUUAUGCCUUUCAAAGCACCCUCACGGUUUUUGCAAGGUGCUUUGUAGUUUUUCAGGUUCCUACUACUACAUUUCGCAUUAUCUGACGGCAAGAUAUUGUAUGUAGUGACGGAUUGUACAUUGCAUGCUAUCUGUUAAAGCUGGGCACAAUGAAAUGGAUCGAGGGCUGUGCCUUUUGCAUGUUAUUUCAUUGUUUCUCCGUUUUUGAUGCAUGUGCUAAAGCCCCACGUGUUCAUAGUGCAACCAUUGCUGUUCAGUUUUAAGUAUAAAGGAAUUAUAUGGAUACCUACUUGUUUACGUGCAGUGAAGGAAAAACUUAUAUCGACAUUUUUUUUUUUUUUUGAUCAAACAUAAUGAAAACCAAAUAAAUGACUGAAGGCACAGCCUGCAUACGGCAGUGACACGGUAACAGAAGUUAGUAUGUAAUUUUCUCACCCAAGCCAGAGCGAAAAAAAUGGUGAAAAAUAAAAAUAAACCAGGCAUAGAGCGUGCAAGGCUGCGCUGCCUGCUUGUAAAACUUGAGUUAGAUGGAGGCUGUUUACUGUUGCUGCAGCUUCCACAUUUCCCUGCUCCAAAUGCACCAAGUGACCUCACAAGCUAAUAUAAGAUAAACAAGCAGGCAAAUGUAAUGUUACAUAGUCUGCUUCUCAGCACUGCUAUCAAGAAUGCUUGAGAAAAAGGGCAAGAAUUCACUUGGCUCGCUCAUUCUUGCAGCCACCAUGCCUAUGACAGGGAACCUCGCAGUAGUAGAUGGAAACUUUCCAACUACAGUCACAGCGGCUGGGUAACUUUUGACGAGCAGUGUACAUAGGUUUAAAGCACCAGAGUUGUAUCUCUCAUCAUCAACAAUGUACUUGCUGCUUUAACUGGAAUUUUCCGUAUUUUCUUAUGACACAAAGUUAAUUGAAAUAGUAACCAUACCAUAUGUCAACAAUAACGUGCAGCAGAUAUAUUCAGUAAUCAGUUAUCUCCAAUGAUUAAUUUUAAUUUUUUGCCCAUUAUAGGAUAAGCGUACUAAGGUUGUGAGUGGACUGCCAUGGAAAUUGUCUUAUGAGAUGCAUGUGUGUUUAUUCUUUUAUAGGAACAUUACAACUAUUUAUUUUUCUAUUGCCUAGUGCUGUAUUUAUUAACUCAAGUCAGCCUAUCUCUCUUGUAAAUGUUGCACCUAGGGCUGGUUUUUGACUGGUUGGCAGUUAAUCUAUGAUGAGCUUUUUAUGAUAAUGUUAAUUAAAAAAUAUAGGUUGUUACGAUUUUAUGCAGCUAACCAGUUGUGAAUGGUUUUAAAGCUGUGUCUUGAAAUUUUCUGUCCUAAAAUAUUAUACAUCUGUUUAAAAUUGCUAAAAUUGCACUGUGCAUUUAAAUUUUUGACUUGACGUGUAAUUCGGUCUACUUUAUUUUUGGUUUUAUCUGGCAAGAAGGUCCCAAAAUCCCCCCCCCCCCCUUUUUUUUUCUUUUGAGGGGGGGGGAGGGGUGUUACACAUAAGCUUACCAGUCUUUUAGAGGCAACAUUCACGUGCAAAAUUUACCUUUUAUUAUUAUUUUUUUAUUAUUAUUAGUUUUUGCUUGUGCAGUAUCUCAAGUCAGCAUAAUGUUACUGUACUAGUAUCUAGCAGACUUACAGGUAGUGUUGAGGUGGUGGGCAUACAACUGUCAUAUACACUAACCUUGCAACUGAAUGUAUUCAAAAGCAUAGUAACACAAAUAGCAAUUAAAUGACUUGGAUGAAGCAGUGAGCACAUGUAAUUGUCAUAAUGAGUGUCUUAAAAUUGCGGAGGGAAAGCAGUUUAGCGAGAUAUUGACUAUGGUGCUUACAUCUUGCCACAUGAAACCUCUGGCUUUUAAAGCUAUGCUUUCUUUGCGAAGCUGGGUGCUGGUUUCCCAGCACAACAGCCGGAUCCUCUAACCAUUAGGCCACAAUCGCAUGUAUACUUCUAUCAUGCGAAUGCCAACUAGCGCUUGGAGAUGAUCGCUGCAUAUCAUGUGUCACAUUGCAUAGCAUGGGUGCACGAGAGCAUAUGCAUGCACACCAGUUUCCUGUACACCAGAGACGCAGGGAUGGAAUGGGCAAACUUAUAGCAUUUUAUUUAACCGCUUCACAUAAAUUCCAAGAUGUGUAUUGGAUCUGUAUAAUUUUUACUUUUGAUCCUGCUUACCACUAAUUCUUAAUGGCAGAAGCCUUAAAUUGCUUUUGUUUAACCUCAUUUAUUACUAAGUGAUGAUUCUGUCUGCAGUGCAUACAGCUUUUUUAUCUUGUAAUUUCAAUAUUGGAGCCUAUUAAUGUGUGUUCUCUUUUAUCUGUGUUUUACUGUUUGGUGACCGUGUUAGCUAAUGUUAGAUAUAUGAAGACGCAUUCAGUUCAUUCACUUCAUCAGUUCAGUUUUUAUCAUGCAUGCUGUCUGGUUUUGCCUCGGGUAUGUUCUUUUGUUGAUAUCUUUUCUGUAGACUGAAAAUAUUAUUGCUAUUCAAAACAGCACUAUACUGACAAGUGGAGCUUUCUCCUAAUUUAAAAUGUUUUGAGAGGGCUCUUGCCAUGUGCUGAAGUUUUACUGUGAGUAACUUUAUUGAAUAAAAUACUGUCUCUCAGAAUGAGUGGUGGAAAACGAGGAUUCAUUUAAUGCCACUGUACUCCACUCUUCAUCAAAAUGCCCCCAGUUACAGGUAGAAACAUAAAUACCUUAUCCUCAGUUUUGAUCAGCACUUUUCUAGUAGAGUACCGAUUAAUUAUUUAGAUUGUUUGGCAGCUGCUUGUACUGUAUGAUUUGCAGAUGAUGUCAAUCAUUUCAGUUUUAAUUAUUUUUAUUCUGUGCACAAGAUGCACUUGUACGAUGUCACGCCGAAAAAAAUGCAGAUCUGUAUUCUUAAGCUAUAAGUGUGACCAAUCUUUGCCACAGUACCCAUUGCCUCCGGGAGCUACUGAAAAGGAAGUGUUUUACUAGUGUUGGCAACGCUAUUCCUUAAGUCCCAUUAACUCUAAUUGGCCUGACAAGUGCACCAAAGAGCACAGAUGAAUCAAACUGCUUACUAGUUCUAGCUAGCCCCUCCCUUCUUUCUCAUUUGAGCAACCUCUCAAUAAAAGUAAAAUCUGAGUUUGUGAUCAGGCUGCUAUUAGAUUGAUGCAUAUGCUUUUGGGGGAAUUAGUGCCCAUGCCAUUUUUUUUUUUUUAACAAUGCUUGUAGUUGUUGAUUGGGUAUUGCUUUACAUGGCAUUUGUGGUGUAAAUUCAUGUGCUGCCAAUGCAUUGUGUAGGCUUUGAUAGAUCAUUUGCAGAAUUCAGCUUUCUUGGUUGAGUUUUUGUGUAGAAUUGUAUCAAGCUGGUCUAGAUUUGGCAAUCCACGUGUAGCAGCAGCAGUCCAUCAGAGGUAGCUGUGGUGCACCACAGAUCCGUCAAUAUCAUGUGAUAGCCAGGGCCAACAGUCCCAGUUGAAUUGCUUGUACUUCGAGUAAACAGCCUCUCUGCUGCCUUUUCGAGCUUUCUAAUCCUGCGUAUGCAAAGAUUUUAUGCUUAAUGAGAAUUCACAUAGUAUUUCAUUGUAUAAUUCUUAAUAUUCUAUGUACUAGACACUGGUUGUACACAUUAUUGAUUGUGUUGUAUUAUGUGCUGACAUGUUUCCCGAAGCAUAGUGUUUUAACAUUUCAGUGUGGCAAGACCUGUUUAAUUAUUGGAAGGGAGGCAUUGUAGCUCAGAUUACCUGGCCCCAAUGCAAGAAAAAUGCAGUUAUAUGGGUGUAAUUACAUACAUUCCUGAUUAUGUUACAUGAAAAUGCCCAUAAAACACCUGACAAAUUAGGCAUUGUCUUAGUGACAGUUACAUGCCAACUACAGUUAUUCUAGAUGCUGUUUUGCAGGUAGAAUGUAGACAAAUAGCAUCAGUGAUUUUGUAUAUAGAUAGGUGCAUGAUGACUCCAAAUGUAGUUCAACAUUGGCUUGACACUGCUAAUACUCUGGUGCCAAGUCUAAGAUAAUACCUAUGGAGUGUUUAGCAUACUGAAAGUCCAACACUAUUUUAUCUUUAUCACAAUAGUAAGUUUGUAGGUGUCUUUCUCCGGGGGUAUUCUAUCAUGCAUCUAAGUGUAGAAAAUUUUAGGUGCCUGUUUGACAUUCGUUUUUAAUGGGCACUUAGCUGUGAUCUUCACAUUGUAAGCAAGCGUAUUAGCUGCUGCACAGAAUGCUGCUAGGCCUUCUAUUAUUGCCCUUUGACUGCCAUGCCCAAGUGUACUAGUUUCCUGUCUUGCACUUGCUUGUCGCCAUUCUGGCUACACUAAGGCUGAAGGAAAUGUAUGUCAUACACUUGUCAUGUCAUCAAUACAGAAGCUACUUUUGCAUAUGUUACAUGGAAGUUUUGUGUGUGGCCAGGUAGCCACUGUUGAGUUCACUCUUGCCAUGAGAGUUGGUAGCUUCUCAUGUCCGUGUGCUGCAUCAUGCUCACUUGUACAUGCGGGAAGUAAUUUGUGUUGUGUGUGUUAAAAUAUUCAAAAUAUAUUGAUGUAACCUGGGAACCAUCACAACACAUUCACAGCCUAGGAAGUAUUGUUUAAACUACACAACGUAACUGCAUGUUGUGGAAGUUUUAAAAAAGGAAGUCAUGUGUUUAACCUGAAAAUAUAUGGAAAGGAAUAUCCUUUUAUUUUAAUAACAUUUACUUCUUUAAAAAUAUCUGCACCACACUCACAGUAAGUACUGAUACAAAAUAAUGGCAAAUCAUUUGAAUGUGGUUGUGCAUGUUAGAGAGAUGUUUUUUUGUUUUUUUUUCAUUCAUGGAAUCAAAUUUUGUGCACCAUUUAGCUAUAAUUUUGCAACAUUUUUUAUGGCAUUAUGUAAUUUAAGCUCUGAUGUGUUGUUUAUGAGUGCUCAACCAUGUCAAGAUUUUGUUGCAUUUUGCUAUUACUAUAGUUCUGCUGAUUGCAGCCAAAUUUUUUGUAUCUGUGUUUCAGCACAGAUAACCCUUUCAGUGUGUCGCUGAUGCAUAACCAGCACAUUGAACUAGUUUCCCUGUCGUUGUGAUGCUUCGAAUAAAUUUUCAUAAGCAGUCUUGUUAAAACAAAAUUGCAGCAUGAAUGAAAUUAGCUUGUAUGAAGUAACUUUGUGUGGGUGAGUUUCUGGCACUUGUAUUCUUGUGGUCUUUCUAGAGCUUUUCUCGUCUUUGCAAUACUCUGGUGGCACAGAGUUGCCAUUGUGUUCUAUAAACCUUGAGUAAUAGAAAGAUUAUUUUUAUCAUUAUGCUGCAGUUGAUGUUAGUGGUAGUGUACAUAUAAAUAUAUAUUUUCAACAUCUCAAUUCAUGCAAUAGUACAUAGGUAUUUAAUGUGGUGAUACAUGUUUUGCCAGUGAUGGCAUCUACAUGGCUGUCAAGUGCUUUUAAUGAUUGUUUUUGUCUUGCGCAAAAUAGUAGUAGAUCCCAAGGGUAAAAAUAUAUUGAUGUUGCACUUUUAUUUAAUGCGAUGUUAUAUGCUUCACUUGAGGUCCUGGAGCCACAUUUAGCAGACUGGUAUAAUGAGAAAAUCUAAGAACUAGUGUAUCAUGUUAUGUGCAUAUUUAAAUAGCCAUAUCUUUUGCUUUUGUGCAAUGCGUUGCGUGCUGUAUUUAUUCCUUUUGCGCAUACUGCGUAGCGCAUUUGAAUGUGACAAUACAAAUACACUUGUGAAUAUUGUUUGAGGAACAAUAAAUCAGUGUUAGUAAA